Molecule: ribosomal RNA, 480 nt
Filed under: uncultured Sphingobacteriales bacterium
Lineage: Bacteria; Pseudomonadati; Bacteroidota; Sphingobacteriia; Sphingobacteriales
Description: bacterial SSU rRNA
Rfam family: Bacterial small subunit ribosomal RNA
Source: RNAcentral
CUUAAAGGAAGUUGACGGGGCCCGCACAAGCGGAGGAGCAUGUGGUUAAUUCGAUGAUACGCGAGGAACCUUACCUGGGCUCGAACGUAAGAUGACUGUAGGUGAAAGCUUACAUCUCUUCGGAGCAUUUUACGAGGUGCUGCAUGGUUGUCGUCAGCUCGUGCCGUGAGGUGUCGGGUUAAGUCCCAUAACGAGCGCAACCCCUACCUUUAGUUGCCAUCAGGUUAAGCUGGGGACUCUAAAGGAACUGCCUACGCAAGUAGUGAGGAAGCGGGGAUGACGUCAAAUCAGCACGGCCCUUACGUCCAGGGCUACACACGUGCUACAAUGGCCGAUACAGAGGGCAGCUACCUGGUGACAGGAUGCAAAUCUCCAAAGUCGGUCUCAGUUCGGAUCGGAGUCUGCAACCCGACUCCGUGAAGUUGGAUUCGCUAGUAAUCGCGCAUCAGCCAUGGCGCGGUGAAUACGUUCCCGGGCCUU